UACGUAGGGGGCAAGCGUUAUCCGGAUUUACUGGGUGUAAAGGGAGCGUAGACGGCAUGGCAAGUCUGAUGUGAAAGGUCGGGGCCCAACCCCGGGACUGCAUUGGAAACUGUCAGGCUGGAGUACAGGAGAGGUAAGCGGAAUUCCUAGUGUAGCGGUGAAAUGCGUAGAUAUUAGGAGGAACACCAGUGGCGAAGGCGGCUUACUGGACUGUAACUGACGUUGAGGCUCGAAAGCGUG
Molecule: ribosomal RNA, 240 nt
Filed under: uncultured bacterium
Lineage: Bacteria
Description: partial 16S ribosomal RNA
Rfam family: Bacterial small subunit ribosomal RNA
Source: RNAcentral